RNAcentral lists this ribosomal RNA (252 nucleotides) under uncultured bacterium. Its description in RNAcentral is "partial 16S ribosomal RNA". It matches the Rfam family "Bacterial small subunit ribosomal RNA", at positions 524 to 776 of the family's 1533-position model. The record is from RNAcentral.
GACGAAGGGCUAGCGUAGUUGUGAAUCACUGGGCUAAAGGCGCGUGAGAGCGGGCCGCCACGUCGGCUGCUGAAAUCCCCCGGCUCAACCGGGGAAGGGGCACCGAUACGAGCGGCCUGGAGGGGGGUAGGGGGGUCUGGAACUUCCGGUGGAGCGGUGAAAUGCGUUGAGAUCGGAAGGAACGCCCGUGGCGAAAGCGAGGCCCUGGACCCUUACUGACGCUGAGACGCGAAAGCCAGGGGAGCGAACGGG